This 478-nucleotide ribosomal RNA is filed under the name uncultured bacterium. RNAcentral describes it as "bacterial SSU rRNA". It matches the Rfam family "Bacterial small subunit ribosomal RNA", at positions 29 to 507 of the family's 1533-position model. The record is from RNAcentral.
AUUGAACGCUGGCGGCAUGCCUUACACAUGCAAGUCGAACGGUAACGCGGGGCAACCUGGCGACGAGUGGCGAACGGGUGAGUAAAGUAUCGGAACGUGCCCAGUAGUGGGGGAUAGCCCGGCGAAAGCCGGAUUAAUACCGCAUGAGACCUGAGGGUGAAAGCGGGGGAUCGCAAGACCUCGCGCUAUUGGAGCGGCCGAUAUCAGAUUAGGUAGUUGGUGGGGUAAAGGCCUACCAAGCCGACGAUCUGUAGCUGGUCUGAGAGGACGACCAGCCACACUGGGACUGAGACACGGCCCAGACUCCUACGGGAGGCAGCAGUGGGGAAUUUGGACAAUGGGCGCAAGCCUGAUCCAGCCAUGCCGCGUGCGGGAAGAAGGCCUUCGGGUUGUAAACCGCUUUUGUCAGGGAGAAUCUUCUGGGUUAAUACCUCGGGAGGAUGACGGUACCUGAGAAUAAGCACCGGCUAACUACGUG